RNAcentral lists this ribosomal RNA (468 nucleotides) under uncultured bacterium. RNAcentral's name for it is "partial 16S ribosomal RNA". It matches the Rfam family "Bacterial small subunit ribosomal RNA", at positions 28 to 507 of the family's 1533-position model. The record is from RNAcentral.
GACGAACGCUGGCGGCGUGCUUAACACAUGCAAGUCGAACGGAAAGGCCCUGCUUUUGUGGGGUGCGCGAGUGGCGAACGGGUGAGUAACACGUGAGUAACCUGCCCUUGACUUUGGGAUAACUUCAGGAAACUGGGGCUAAUACCGCAGAGGAGCUCCUGCUGCAUGGUGGGGGUUGGAAAGUUUCGGCGGUUGGGGAUGGACUCGCGGCUUAUCAGCUUGUUGGUGGGGGAGUGGCUUACCAAGGCUUUGACGGGUAGCCGGCCUGAGAGGGUGAACGGCCACAAUGGGCCUGCGGUACGGCCCAGACUGCUACGGUGGGCAGCAGUGGGGAACCUUGCGCAAUGGGCGGACGCGUGGUGCAGCAACGUUGCGUGUGGGAUGACGGUCUUCGGGUUGUAAACGGCUUUAGCUUGUGACGUAGAGUGAGUGACGGUACUGGGUAAAGAAGCACCGGCUAACUACGUG